AUGAAAUCAGCCGCCGGCGCCGCAGAUUGUGGGGGCAUAGCAAUAUCAUCAUCCAAUCCUCACAAGAGGACGAGGAGGGGGCACAAGGGUGUUCUGCAGCUUCACCAUCUGCCUCUUGAUACUUUAAGUGACAUUGUGUCAUUGUUAAGCUUCAAAGAGGCUGCGCGCAUGAGCGUACUGUCGAGCCAGUGGAGACAUCUCUGGAGAUCAUGUAUCAGAGACCUGGUCUUCACUAGGGAGACAAUGUGCUGCCCCAUGCCCAUGAGCCGAGAGGAACAAGAUCGAGAAGCUUUCAUCAGGAAUGUUGAGUGCGUAUUGUGCCAACUCGAUCCCACCAUUGCUAGGGACAAAUUCGUGCUCGAGUUCAAGCUCAUCAAUACAAAUGUGCAGACCCAUGUUGACAGAUGGGUCGCCUUUUGUGCAACAUCAAGAGUGAAGCACAUUGUCUUCGAUUUCAAACCAGGGUCAUGGGGCAAACACGACAAUUCGUUCAACUUCCCAAUACACCUUUUCAUCAAUGGCGCUCCUGCUGUCAGAUCUUUGUGCCUCAUGUCUGCCUACCUAAACCCAGUACCUGGUUUUUCUAGCUUCACAAACCUUAGAAAGCUCAUGCUCGACUCGGUGUCUGGAGAUAUCCAGUGCAUGUUGUUGCCAGCGUGCUCCAUGCUUGAGUGGCUUAGCAUCGUGCGUUGCACCCUCCACAGCUUGACUACUUCCCAACCGUUGCGCCAGUUGCGAUACCUGUGUGUGCACUACUGCUUCAAUGUGCAGAAGCUUGAGGUGCAAGCUCCGAACCUUAAUACCUUCAUAUUUGGCAGCUUGGAGACCCACCCAGUGUCAUUUAUCAUUGAUGGAUGUCUAGAGAUACAGGAGGUGACUAUCAAGUUGCCAACAUGGAGGAGUGACCUUUUUGACUACGCCUUCGCGGAUCAUGGUAUGGCGAAUGUGCCCAAGCUCUCUGUGGAACUUGCAAUUGAUUCCAAGGUGCCUGGAUGUGCAAAAUGCCCUAGUAAGUUUGUCAACCUGAAGCAUCUUAUAUUGACCGUCGAUGUACUUGCAAAUGAUAAGUAUACAAGUGGCAUUCUUCGUUUGGCUUGUCUUUUGGAAUUAAGCCCAGUUUUGAAUCGUCUUGAACUGCAUCCCGGCCCGUGA
This 1152-nucleotide ribosomal RNA is filed under the name Triticum aestivum (bread wheat). RNAcentral describes it as "partial small subunit ribosomal RNA". Lineage: Eukaryota; Viridiplantae; Streptophyta; Magnoliopsida; Poales; Poaceae. The record is from RNAcentral.